UGAAAAAAUAUCUUCAGUGACA
RNAcentral lists this non-coding RNA (22 nucleotides) under Rattus norvegicus (Norway rat). Lineage: Eukaryota; Metazoa; Chordata; Mammalia; Rodentia; Muridae. The record is from RNAcentral.